RNAcentral lists this long non-coding RNA (2310 nucleotides) under Podarcis lilfordi (Lilford's wall lizard). Lineage: Eukaryota; Metazoa; Chordata; Lepidosauria; Squamata; Lacertidae. The record is from RNAcentral.
AAAUUGUAAAUUAUCUAUAUCAAAAAAGAAAUCUUAGAAGUGUCUAUCAACAACUAAUGAGAUCAUAGAUAACUCCUUCACUGAGCUUUGAAUUUCAGUAUGUUCCUCUUUAUCUUGGUGGUGAACAAACAACACCCAUUCCCGGACCUCACUGAACCAUUUGUUCCCAAGUGUUGUCUGCGACAUGAUAUCAUGGCUUAUAAAUAACUCCACGUAAGCCUCUACCUGCACCAAUUCCCUUGUUGAUCCAUCUCUGCUCUGAGUCUCCUAAUCUUUCCAGAAUGAUGAAGGCACUCCUGAGCGCAUGCCUCCUCUUGGUCCUGCUUUCUCCAGGUAAGAUGGGGAACAUUUAAUUACCUUUAGAGGACACUGAAAAGAACUUGCAGCUUGGUAGAGAAGGGGAGUUAGAAGUGCAGAUCAACUCCCUAGAGAGCAAGGAGGGCAGGGUUACCAAGAGAAAGUAGCAGAGAAUUAAGUCAUGAAUAUUUCUUGUGUUGUCAUUAUGAUGGGCCCGCCGACUCUUUUUCCCCUGGCACCGUUGGGCCCGUCCUCUCACUUAAGUAUAGUGCACCCAACUCACCGAACACCAAUCCCACGGAUUUCCACAGUCUACCUCAGAUUAUCUUGUAGGGGAUUUGCGUGAAGUAAAAUUUAAUAAUUAGGAGUUUCGGGCAGGAUUUGCUCAAAUAAAGAAUAACAAUUUUAUUUAACAAGAAAGUUUAUGACACGAGUAGAUAAAACAGAAUACUUCAGUCUACAAUGUUAUUUCACUUCAAGGUUUUCUCAGUUGUUCACACUUAAUACUUUGGUUCUUAACAAGGUGGUACUUUCUGUCAGUUACACACCCCUAGACAACCCUGCUGUUGAGGCACUCCAAGGUUUCACUGGUUUGGGAGUCUUCUCUUACUAGAAGAAUCUCUCCCCUCCUGACUGGAAUAAGUAGACUGUCUCUUUACAGCUUCUACUUCUCCUGUCUCAACCUCAGCCCCCCAGUUAAUUCCUGGCCUAAAUGCUCUUACAGGACACCACACACUGUCCUUCACACUAAGCUCAGAGACUCCUUUCUCUAGCGUGUGAUAUUUUCCUCAGAGUGGAUGUUUCUGCCCAGAACCAACACUCACUCCCUAUCUUCCUACCUAUCCACCCAACCUCUCAAUCCCAACCUACUCCAAAACCUCCUCCCAACACUCCCUCCAAAACGCACUCCUUCUUUCUCUCCAUAUUCUCUCCUUUUCAACUCCCCCUCCUGGAACCUUGGCCAAUCAGAUGGUGCCAUACAUUAACCAUUUUCUGGCAUGGGAAAAAGAAAAAGGAAAUACUUGGGGACCCAACCUGCCCCAACAAAAACAAACUUUUCCUUCACAGUCAUCCAGAUAAAUGAUGUCAUAGAGAUAAAUAAUAAAUACCUCACAGGAAUCUUCUGAGGAUUAAAUAGGGAGGGGGAAACUAUGUACACAGCCUUGAGCUUCUUGGAGGAAGUGGAUGCAGAUAAAAAAUAAAUCGGAAAAAUAGAAACUGAAAGUAAGUUAAAUUGAUAGAUUGGUUCAUCCCUAGUCCAGGAUCCUGUCCUCACACUGGCCAUCCCAAUGAUUAUGGAAGCUCACAGUCAGGACCUCAGUGAAACAACACUCUGGCUUACUCUGAGUUCCAGCAACUGAUAUCUGAAAUAUGCAACUUUUUAUACUGGAGGUAGUACAUAGGCAUCAUGGUUAGUAGCCACUGAGAAUCUUAUUUUCCAUCAAUUUGUCUAAUUCCCUUAUAAAGCCAUUCAAAUUGGUGGCAUUGACUACCUCUUGUAGAAAAUUCCAUAGUUUAAUUGUGCUAAGAUGUAAGUUUGUAACCAAACAGUGGGAAGAAAAUAUAUUUAAGUGAGAGUCUGGAUGGGGGGGAAGGUUGGCCAUGGGCAAGGGCCGAGUUCACCUCCCCACCUCUUGGAAAUAAUUUAACUGGUAUUCUGGGCAGUGGCUUCAAGAGUUUUAAUUAAUGAGUGUUUUAUUCAUUCUAUUCUAUUCUAUUAAAAUGCUUUUAAAAUUGAACCCCUUUUAAUUUAGAAGUAUUAAUUGACUCUCACCUCCUCCUUUGUGUGUCACUUAGCAAACUGCAAAACCAAUUAAUAAUAAUGUUAAUGAUAAUAAUAAUAAUAAUAAUUAAUAAUUCAUGAAGUAAACUUUUGCUUCUGUCUUCAGCAUUACCUCUGCACUGCAGAUAUAGUUAUAACAAGACUGGAAUGACAUACAAUAGCUAUCUUGAAACAACUUGUGACUCCGAUAAAGAUUCCUGUGAGGCCAGUGUUCUGCGUACAAAUAUAAG